Long non-coding RNA from Leucoraja erinaceus (little skate), 1403 nucleotides. RefSeq lists it as uncharacterized. The transcript has 2 exons. Lineage: Eukaryota; Metazoa; Chordata; Chondrichthyes; Rajiformes; Rajidae. The record is from RefSeq and is a predicted model, not a curated record.
ACUGCCAACCAUCAACCACCCAUUGACACUAAUCCCCAUUUAUUCUCCCUACAUUCUCAUCAACUCCCCACACACCCCCAUUGCACCCUCACCUGCACACAGGAGGCAAUUGACACCGGCCAAUUAACCUACCAACCUUCACGCCUUGUUAAAGGGCUCUUUAAUAUCUCUCUCUCUCUCUUCCAAUCCCCACUCAAAAGCCGGACAAAAUUGUCCAGCCUGCUGUGGGCCAUACGGGGAAGUAAAUUCACGGAGCCUUGGCCGUGAAUCUUUGAUCAGUCCGAGAGCGGGGCUCGGGGCUCGGAGUUUGAGUUGGCAGCCUCGGGCUAUCGGUCAUGGGGGCGGGACGGCAAGUGGUGGCCGAUGGCCCCUGGAUUACAGAAAUGCUGUGAUCCGAGUUUUCCUGGUUGGGGACUGUGAGGAGUGACCGGACAUUUGACCUACGAGGAAUGUGCUGGUGCCGAAACAAGCCUUCGUGUGUUUCAUUAUUCUACGCCUCCAGUGAUGAAACCAGAUAUGCAUCUCCCGUACAGUUUCAAAGAAUGUCCACACUCCGCCCAAAAGUCUAUUUAAAGUCCACGUUUAAAAUUAAAUUUCUUAAUACUGCUAUUGGUAAACUGGAAGUCAAUCCAGUUUGUGCCUUGUUACCGUGAAGGUUGGUUUUCAAGUAACCCGGGCAAUAUGUUAUAUUUCAAAACUCUCAAGUAAUUACAGACUUGUCAGUGAUUUCAGCGAAAAUUAGGAAUCGCCGGAGAAGCUUUGAUACUUAAGGGGGUAUUAUCAAUUCUUACAAGUAAAUGCUAUUCAUCGAUUUGUCUUUGUAGAAUCGGCUACUGAUUAUAAUGAGUGACACUAAGGAAUGUAGACGGCCCUUAACUCGUUGAGUACAAAAGUUCUUUUAGCUUCGGGGGAAAUAGAAUGGCAACAAAAUGAAACUUCACUUCACCGCCGCCUUUGCUGGCAGCGUUGGCGAAUUCAUGGGAAAUCAUUAGAAGGGAUUGAAACGGGCAGAUUGCCUCGAAUUCUCCAGGGGAAUCAUUAUUCGCGUUUUUUGGUAAUAGACACCUUGCGAACUGUUUUAAUUUAGACCAACAUGACACGCUUUAGCCCAGGUUAUGAAAGAGUGUGUUUUCUAAACCCACUAAAUUGGAUAUAAAUAAACGGCUGGUAGACAUGUGAGUCAAAAGCACAAAACAUGCCAGCGGAAACCAAACAAACCUGUAUCGGUUGCGCUCUCCGCUUGCGAGACGGUUCCCUGUAUAUAAAUGGUGGCAAUGAAGUCGCUAAUUAAAGUGAGUUGUUUGGACAAGAUACUUGCACAGGCAUCGCCACAGAAAAAUAGCGACUUCUUGUCGAGUUAUUUAUAUAGCAUACACUGCGAUUUGCAAUGCACAGCCGGCCAC